AGAGUUUGAUCCUGGCUCAGGACGAACGCUGGCGGCGUGCCUAAUACAUGCAAGUAGAACGCUGAAGAGAGGAGCUUGCUCUUCUUGGAUGAGUUGCGAACGGGUGAGUAACGCGUAGGUAACCUGCCUUGUAGCGGGGGAUAACUAUUGGAAACGAUAGCUAAUACCGCAUAACAAUGGAUGACACAUGUCAUUUAUUUGAAAGGGGCAAUUGCUCCACUACAAGAUGGACCUGCGUUGUAUUAGCUAGUAGGUGAGGUAAUGGCUCACCUAGGCGACGAUACAUAGCCGACCUGAGAGGGUGAUCGGCCACACUGGGACUGAGACACGGCCCAGACUCCUACGGGAGGCAGCAGUAGGGAAUCUUCGGCAAUGGGGGCAACCCUGACCGAGCAACGCCGCGUGAGUGAAGAAGGUUUUCGGAUCGUAAAGCUCUGUUGUAAGUCAAGAACGGGUGUGAGAGUGGAAAGUUCACACUGUGACGGUAGCUUACCAGAAAGGGACGGCUAACUACGUGCCAGCAGCCGCGGUAAUACGUAGGUCCCGAGCGUUGUCCGGAUUUAUUGGGCGUAAAGCGAGCGCAGGCGGUUUGAUAAGUCUGAAGUUAAAGGCUGUGGCUCAACCAUAGUUCGCUUUGGAAACUGUCAAACUUGAGUGCAGAAGGGGAGAGUGGAAUUCCAUGUGUAGCGGUGAAAUGCGUAGAUAUAUGGAGGAACACCGGUGGCGAAAGCGGCUCUCUGGUCUGUAACUGGCGCUGAGGCUCGAAAGCGUGGGGAGCGAACAGGAUUAGAUACCCUGGUAGUCCACGCCGUAAACGAUGAGUGCUAGGUGUUGGAUCCUUUCCGGGAUUCAGUGCCGCAGCUAACGCAUUAAGCACUCCGCCUGGGGAGUACGACCGCAAGGUUGAAACUCAAAGGAAUUGACGGGGGCCCGCACAAGCGGUGGAGCAUGUGGUUUAAUUCGAAGCAACGCGAAGAACCUUACCAGGUCUUGACAUCCCGAUGCUAUUUCUAGAGAUAGAAAGUUACUUCGGUACAUCGGUGACAGGUGGUGCAUGGUUGUCGUCAGCUCGUGUCGUGAGAUGUUGGGUUAAGUCCCGCAACGAGCGCAACCCCUAUUGUUAGUUGCCAUCAUUCAGUUGGGCACUCUAGCGAGACUGCCGGUAAUAAACCGGAGGGAGGUGGGGAUGACGUCAAAUCAUCAUGCCCCUUAUGACCUGGGCUACACACGUGCUACAAUGGUUGGUACAACGAGUUGCGAGUCGGUGACGGCGAGCUAAUCUCUUAAAGCCAAUCUCAGUUCGGAUUGUAGGCUGCAACUCGCCUACAUGAAGUCGGAAUCGCUAGUAAUCGCGGAUCAGCACGCCGCGGUGAAUACGUUCCCGGGCCUUGUACACACCGCCCGUCACACCACGAGAGUUUGUAACACCCGAAGUCGGUGAGGUAACCUUUUGGAGCCAGCCGCCUAAGGUGGGACAGAUGAUUGGGGUGAAGUCGUAACAAGGUA
Molecule: ribosomal RNA, 1506 nt
Filed under: metagenome
Description: bacterial SSU rRNA
Rfam family: Bacterial small subunit ribosomal RNA
Source: RNAcentral